Molecule: ribosomal RNA, 301 nt
Filed under: uncultured bacterium
Lineage: Bacteria
Description: partial 16S ribosomal RNA
Rfam family: Bacterial small subunit ribosomal RNA
Source: RNAcentral
CAGCCGCCGCGGGAAUACGGAGGGGGCUAGCGUUGUUCGGAAUUACUGGGCGUAAAGCGCACGUAGGCGGCUUGGUAAGUUAGAGGUGAAAGCCUGGAGCUCAACUCCAGAAUUGCCUUUAAGACUGCCGAGCUAGCAGGUGAGAGAGGUAAGUGGAAUUCCGAGUGUAGAGGUGAAAUUCGUAGAUAUUCGGAAGAACACCAGUGGCGAAGGCGGCUUACUGGCUCAUACUGGACGCUGAGGUGCGAAAGCGUGGGGAGCAAACAGGAUUAGAUACCCUUGUAGUCCCUGUCUCUUAUAC